GUCACCCAGGCUGGAGUGCAGUGGCGUGAUCUCGGCUCACUGCAAGUUCCACUUCCCAGGUUCAUGCCAUUCUCCUGCUUCAGCCUCCCGAACAGAUGGGUCUACAGGCGCCCGCCACCAUGCCCAGCUAAUUUUUUUGUAUUUUUUUUUUUCAGUAGAGACGGUGUUUCACCAUGUUAGCCAGGAUGGUCUUGAUCUCCUGACCUCGUGAUCCACCCACCUCGGCCUCCCAAAGUGCUGGGAUUACAGGCAUGAGCCACCACGCCCGGCCAAGUGGAAUGAAUUUUCAAGAGCAUUGAAGUUACCGAGCCCUCUGGCACAAAUGGAAGAAGAAAGAAGGGAGCAAGUAGCUAAAAUUAAGAAGAUGGAGAUGGAGAUGGAGCAGGUGUUUGAGAUGAAGGUCAAAGAAAAAGUUCAAAAACUGAAGGACUCUGAAGCUCAGGCCUUCGGGAAGUGUCGAGUCCGGGACGCCCAGCGCGGGCCGGAGCAGGGGAAGGGAAGCGCAGCUCGGUCCGCGUGGGUGGAGGG
This 528-nucleotide long non-coding RNA is filed under the name Pan paniscus (pygmy chimpanzee). RNAcentral's name for it is "lncRNA (ENSPPAG00000044677.1)". Lineage: Eukaryota; Metazoa; Chordata; Mammalia; Primates; Hominidae. The record is from RNAcentral.